This is a long non-coding RNA of Cygnus atratus (black swan), 646 nucleotides long. RefSeq lists it as uncharacterized. The record is from RefSeq and is a predicted model, not a curated record. The transcript has 3 exons. NCBI's taxonomy places the organism in Eukaryota, Metazoa, Chordata, Aves, Anseriformes, Anatidae.
GCUCCAGGCUGUGUGAGCAGCGUCUGGUCUCUAGCUGAGGAAAGGGGAGUAGAAGUAACUCAACCAAGUGGUUUGCUUUUCAGAACGAGUAUACCAAUGUGGCUGGGUAAAGCUUGCAUAUAUGAUGGUAUACAUUUGGAGUAGAACCAUGGCUAGGGUUGGGCUGAGGCUGUACAGUCGUUUGGUUAGUUAUGUGCAAAGACAGUCCAGCUAUAGUUGCCUUCCCCAGGAAGAAAGUGAAAGUCGUUCAGAAUUAGUGGUACUUUGAAGCUAUGAAGAGGCUCAGGUAGGACUCCUUUGCAUGAGCUACCACCAGAGAUCUUCAGAUGCACUAACAGGUGCUGAACAGCUACUCUUCUCAGCAGAAAGAGCAUGAUGUUCAGCUGAAAGAGUGUUCCUCCAAGAUGAUAGACUCUGCUAAACCCCAGCUGGAUGGUGAGGAAUUCAACCCUAUGUUUGUAAAGCAAAGCCACUUAGACAAAGCAGAUAGCUGCCCAAGGAGAGCAGCAAGGAAACGACACCUACUUCAGACUUCAAGUUACAGCACCCAAGCUGAAGAAGUUCCUGCAACUUGUAAGGAUCUGGGGCUGGUAUUUUCCUUUGGGAUGAGGGGUGGAAAAAGAUGCCAACAAUGCAUUGGCUAACU